Molecule: long non-coding RNA, 739 nt
Organism: Columba livia (rock pigeon)
Lineage: Eukaryota; Metazoa; Chordata; Aves; Columbiformes; Columbidae
Exons: 3
Source: RefSeq, a predicted model, not a curated record
CUGUGUUUACUUGCUGCAUCCAUCAGGUAUGCUGAUGCUUUUUUUUAAGAGGAAAACAAAAAAGUAAAGUAUCAGUCUUAAACUUUGCAGUAUGCUCCUUAUACCAUAAAACUACAUAUGGAGACAAGAUCUGGAAGGCCCUGGAUAGGUGUGCAGAAGUCUGUUUUACCAGGACAAAGGGAGUGCUACCUGUCUGUAUUAUUUCCAAUAAAUCCUGAAUCCCUAUGUGAUUCCAGUCAUCCUUGAGCACUGUGGAGUGUUACAUUGCAAUCUGAACAUCCUAGAGCCAUGAAGAUAACUGAAUUAGUCGAUGGACAUUUGCAGAUGGCAGUCAGGUACCAGAAUUUUCUUCUGUGUCUCUUCCCUUCCAUAUGGAAAUUUAUCAAUAAUCAAGGUGUCUGCAACAUAAUUUUGUAAGGAAACAGACCAGUCAAACCCAUGCCUGAAGGGGUCUUGAUAGAAAUUAUGAUGUGCCUGCUGGGACUUCUGUUACAAAGGAGGAAGGAGAGACUCUCUUUCUUUCAUAAUGAGCCCUUAUUGGAUCAUAAGCAAAAUUGCAUUCAAGAUCUUCAACUACAGAAUUAGACAUAUAAUUAUUGAUGUGCAAAUAUAUCUUAUAUAGACUUCUGGAAGGCAGAAUGCCUUAUAUUCAAAAAUACCCUUUUCAUGGCUCCUAACUGCUGUUACCGAAAAAAAAAAAAACAGAAAAAAAAAAAGUGAUAACCAGGGGAAUUGUUAA